This is a non-coding RNA of Sporormia fimetaria CBS 119925, 99 nucleotides long. Lineage: Eukaryota; Fungi; Ascomycota; Dothideomycetes; Pleosporales; Sporormiaceae. The record is from the annotation of a GenBank genome assembly.
GUCCGUGUGGCGCAAUGGUAGCGCGUUGGACUUCUAACAUUCAGUUGUAGACUGGAACUUGAAAUCCAAAGGCUGUGGGUUCGAGCCCCACCACGGAUG